RNAcentral lists this ribosomal RNA (433 nucleotides) under uncultured bacterium. Its description in RNAcentral is "partial 16S ribosomal RNA". It matches the Rfam family "Bacterial small subunit ribosomal RNA", at positions 29 to 507 of the family's 1533-position model. The record is from RNAcentral.
AACGAACGCUGGCGGCAGGCCUAACACAUGCGAGUCGAGCGAGGACUUCGGUCCUAGCGGCGGACGGGUGAGUAACGCGUGGGAACGUGCCCUUUGCUUCGGAAUAGCCCUGGGAAAAUGGGAGUAAUACCGGAUGAGCCCUUUGGGGGAAAGAUUUAUCGGCGAAGGAUCGGCCCGCGUUGGAUUAGGUAGUUGGUGGGGUAAUGGCCUACCAAGCCGACGAUCCAUAGCUGGUUUGAGAGGAUGAUCAGCCACACUGGGACUGAGACACGGCCCAGACUCCUACGGGAGGCAGCAGUGGGGAAUCUUAGACAAUGGGGGAAACCCUGAUCUAGCCAUGCCGCGUGAGCGAUGAAGGCCUUAGGGUUGUAAAGCUCUUUCAGCUGGGAAGAUAAUGACGGUACCAGCAGAAGAAGCCCCGGCUAACUCCGUG